UACGUAGGUGGCAAGCGUUGUCCGGAUUUACUGGGCGUAAAGGGCGUGCAGGCGGUCUGUUAAGUUCAGGGUGAAAGCUCCCGGCUCAACUGGGAGAGGUCCUUGGAUACUGGCAGACUUGAGGGAGGUAGAGGAGAGUGGAAUUCCCGGUGUAGUGGUGAUAUGCGUAGAUAUCGGGAGGAACACCAGUGGCGAAGGCGGCUCUCUGGGCUUUUCCUGACGCUGAGACGCGAAAGCGUGGGGAGCGAACCGG
Molecule: ribosomal RNA, 253 nt
Filed under: uncultured bacterium
Lineage: Bacteria
Description: partial 16S ribosomal RNA
Rfam family: Bacterial small subunit ribosomal RNA
Source: RNAcentral